AUUGAACGCUGGCGGCAGGCUUAACACAUGCAAGUCGAGCGGAGAUGAGGUGCUUGCACCUUAUCUUAGCGGCGGACGGGUGAGUAAUGCUUAGGAAUCUGCCUAUUAGUGGGGGACAACAUUCCGAAAGGAAUGCUAAUACCGAAUACGUCCUACGGGAGAAAGCAGGGGAUCUUCGGACCUUGCGCUAAUAGAUGAGUCUAAGUCGGAUUAGCUAGUUGGUGGGGUAAAGGCCUACCAAGGCGACGAUCUGUAGCGGGUCUCAGAGGAUGAUCCGCCACACUGGGACUGAGACACGGCCCAGACUCCUACGGGAGGCAGCAGUUGGGAAUAUUGGACAAUGGGGGGAACCCUGAUCCAGCCAUGCCGCGUGUGUGAAGAAGGCCUUAUGGUUGUAAAGCACUUUAAGCGAGGAGGAGGCUACUGAGACUAAUACUCUUGGAUAGUGGACGUUACUCGCAGAAUAAGCACCGGCUAACUCUGUGCCAGCCGCCGCAGUAA
RNAcentral lists this ribosomal RNA (501 nucleotides) under uncultured bacterium. Its description in RNAcentral is "partial 16S ribosomal RNA". It matches the Rfam family "Bacterial small subunit ribosomal RNA", at positions 30 to 523 of the family's 1533-position model. The record is from RNAcentral.